AUUGAACGCUGGCGGCAGGCCUAACACAUGCAAGUCGAACGGUAACAGGAAGAAGCUUGCUUCUUUGCUGACGAGUGGCGGACGGGUGAGUCAUGUCUGGGAAACUGCCUGAUGGAGGGGGAUAACUACUGGAAACGGUAGCUAAUACCGCAUAACGGCGCAAGACCAAUGAGGGGGACCUUCGGGCCUCUUGCCAUCGGAUGUGCCCAGAUGGGGUUAGUUAGUAGGUGGGGUAACGGCUCACCUAGCCGACGAUCCCUAGCUGGUCUGAGAGGAUGACCAGCAACACUGGACCUGGGACACGGUCCAGACUCCUACGGGAGGCAGCAGUGGGGAAUAUUGCACAAUGGGCGCAAGCCUGAUGCAGCAAUGCCGCGUGUAUGAAGAAGGCCUUCGGGUUGUAAAGUACUUUCAGCGGGGAGGAAGGGAGUAAAGUUAAUACCUUUGCUCAUUGACGUUACCCGAAGAAGAAGCACCGGCUAACUCCGUG
This 490-nucleotide ribosomal RNA is filed under the name uncultured bacterium. RNAcentral's name for it is "partial 16S ribosomal RNA". It matches the Rfam family "Bacterial small subunit ribosomal RNA", at positions 30 to 507 of the family's 1533-position model. The record is from RNAcentral.